RNAcentral lists this ribosomal RNA (235 nucleotides) under uncultured bacterium. RNAcentral describes it as "partial 16S ribosomal RNA". It matches the Rfam family "Bacterial small subunit ribosomal RNA", at positions 96 to 334 of the family's 1533-position model. The record is from RNAcentral.
UGGCGGACGGGUGAGUAAUGUCUGGGAAACUGCCUGAUGGAGGGGGAUAACUACUGGAAACGGUAGCUAAUACCGCAUAACGUCGCAAGACCAAAGAGGGGGACCUUAGGGCCUCUUGCCAUCGGAUGUGCCCGGAUGGGAUUAGCUUGUUGGUGGGGUAACGGCUCACCAAGGCGACGAUCCCUAGCUGGUCUGAGAGGAUGACCAGCCACACUGGAACUGAGACACGGUCCAG